AAGCAGAUGGGCAUAUACUUGAUCUUUGUUUACUGAGAGAAGCUCUCUUUUGCUUCAGCCAAUGGGCUGUUCUGUGGACCACCCACAAAGCUGGGUGGAGCUGGACUGUCAAGCUCAACUUUGACCUCAGAUAUCCCAACGGUAAACACGAGCACCAGACCUGACUGGGUGGUUGAGGGAGCUCCUGGUGAAAUGUGCUGAGGCUUCUGCUGAGGUUUCUACCUCAGCUCCACGGCCUGGCCAGGUAGGAAUGCAAUUCACCUUCCUGUCAUGUUUCUGUCCUGGCACUCCAGACAUUCGGGUCAGACAGACCUCACUAUCUCCAAGCUGCAGUGAAUCUGAGAGCCAUGAAAGUUCAAUGGAUUGAAGAAAAUGUUCACGGAAGGAAGAUGAUUAAUUGAUCCAGAGGGCCUGUAGCAACUCUGUUUAACAUGCUAGAUGAGCCAGUCUUAUUCAGUGAUGACUAAGGAUCUAGAGAAAACUGGUGUCAGGUUGGUCUUCUUCUUCCCACCUAUUUUCAGUUGGCCUGCAGUUCCUAGGAUGUGUAUCCUGUAUGCUGGUCACCGGAAGAUAGGCAAAUUUUUGCUUUGUUGCUGGUUCUGGGACAACAGCCAUGAAAUCAUAUUUAAAGAGAAGAAUCCUGGAGAUAUCAUUGCCUCAGCCUAAAGAAAAGAAUCAACAAAAUAAUGCUCUUGAAGCAGAAGGUGCCAAUGGUGAAACCAGGAGGCAGAGAGUUUCAAAAUCAUAUGUGUGUCACUCUCAUGAAAACAAAAACCAGCUGCAACCACAGAGCUCAGUCAUUUUAAUAAUAUGACUUUAUUAUUCCAAGAAAUUCUUGCCUAGGAAGAUUAAAUU
Molecule: long non-coding RNA, 855 nt
Filed under: Homo sapiens (human)
Lineage: Eukaryota; Metazoa; Chordata; Mammalia; Primates; Hominidae
Description: HSALNT0088204
Source: RNAcentral